This 1365-nucleotide long non-coding RNA is filed under the name Monodelphis domestica (gray short-tailed opossum). RNAcentral's name for it is "lncRNA (ENSMODG00000041369.1)". Lineage: Eukaryota; Metazoa; Chordata; Mammalia; Didelphimorphia; Didelphidae. The record is from RNAcentral.
CAUACAGGAUAAAUUGGAAAUUAUCAACAGAGAAAAGGCACUAGAAUAUCAUAUUAUUAGUUUCUUGUGUAGUUCUAUAUAUUUUAUUUUAUGUCUUUAAAAAUAAUUUUGAGAAGUUGUUAAUGGACUUUAUUGGACUGCCAAAAAAAUAUAUAUAUGAUGAAAAAAGGGAGAGGAAAAAGUCUAAGAACUCUAGGAUCAAUUGAUGUGAAGAUCCUUCCCCUCAAGAUGAGUAUAAACUAAAGGCAAAAUCAAGUGAACAGAACAAAGAGAAAAUUUUAUCCAAUAGCACCAUUAUAAAGGCCGAAAACUUUGAAAGAUUUAAGAGCUCUGAUGAACCCCGUGACCAACCAAAACUGCAAUGGAACCAUGAUGAAAUAUGCUACCCAGAUCUUCCUAGAGAGGGCUUUGCCAUGGUAUUAUCUUCUCUUCCCAGUCAGAAAUCCAAGUGAGGUGGGCAGGCAGUUCUUUCACUCCAAAGUGUUUUGCACUCAAGCUAUUCCUCCAGUCCCAACUGCCUCUGCUGCAGCCAGUCCUGUCUCUGUCCAAUCUCCACACUCCACUGCCCAGGCUCUGCACUCCUCAGCCUCAGGUUCCAAGUCUCAAUGCCAAGGCCUUGCACUGCUCUCAGGGCGCUCUGCAAUGAUAGUUUGGAAAGAGAUGCAGAAAUUUCCUGUUACUCUGCUGCUGUAUUAUCUCCAUCCCAAGAAUGUCAAGAGAAUUAAAGGGGAAAAAUGUGAAGGAAACUGGCCUAGCCAUACCAAACUUCAAAUUAUAUCACAAAAUGGUCUUUAAAAAAUCUGGUCCUGGCUAAGAAACUGAGUAGUGGGUCAGUGGAAUAGAUGACAUACACAAUGCGCAGGAGGAAAUGACAUUGUAAUCUAGUGCUUGAUCAGUUUAUUUAAAUAUGAAAAGCAGUGUAUUAUAUGUGUGUGUGUGUGUGUGUGUGUGUGUGAUCAUGGGGUCUUCUACUAUUUAUUACAGAAUAAUUGAUGGGCAUAUGUUAUAGACAAGAUCAUUAACAACAACCAAAAAUUAACUAUGUUAAGCUUUUACUCAUCUUAGGUAUACUGACCUUAGGACUUUUCAGAAGUUGCCAUUUUUCCAUCUUUUGUACCAUACAUUUAUUGUAGUAUUGACAGAUAACACAUGUUGAUUGUUUAUUUGAUUCCAUAGUAUAUUGAUAAACUCCUGUGCACAAUAUCAUUGCAACUUUACCUUGCAUUGUUUUGAGGAAUUAUGGCAGUAAAAAUGCACAUCAUCCAACUGUUUCCCUAUCAGCACUGCACACAAGGUGGGAGUAUGAGGUUGUUUUGUAAAUCACAGAUAUUAUCCAAAAGCCUAAAUGGUUUAGACAAAUUGAGG